UUUUAGGCCAGGACCAACAGACUUCAGCACGUGUCCCGACAUAUCCAGGAUAUCAACACAGGGAGGGGACUCGGAACUUGCUGCUAGUGUUGAUGGUGUCA
Long non-coding RNA from Haliotis rubra (blacklip abalone), 101 nucleotides. RefSeq lists it as uncharacterized. The record is from RefSeq and is a predicted model, not a curated record. Lineage: Eukaryota; Metazoa; Mollusca; Gastropoda; Lepetellida; Haliotidae. The transcript has 3 exons.